AUGGCUUCUCUGCCGCAGCCAUUGCCGUACGGCGGCAGCUACUAUCCUUCCACCGGCUCCGUCCGGCACACUGGCAGGCCGGCGCCCGACGAGGGCGGAGGCUCCUUCGGGCCGGUGCUCGUGGUGCUCGCCGUCGUCUCCUUCCUCUCAGCCGCCGCGUGCAUCGCCGGCCGGCUGUGCGGCCGGAGGUCAUCGUCGUCCAGGGGAAAGUCCUCUGCAGAGCAGCAGGGCGCUGCCGAUGCGGAGAAGGGAUUGGAUGCUGCCAAGCACCCGGCGGUUAUGAGGCCCCUGCCGAGCUCCCGCGCUACGGUGCACGACAUGGACGACGAUGACGUUUUCGAGAUCAAGUUCGCGCACGUGAAGCCGCCGCCGGGGUGGGAGAAACACGGCGCCGGUGGCGGUGGCGGUGGCAGGGUGCCAGCGCUGCCUCAGCCGCUGCUCGGCCCGCCCUGGCAGUACGCGGCAGCAGGCUUCAGGUGCGCUCCAGCAAACGGCGCCGGUGUAGCGAGGCAGGCGCAUCCGCCGCAGGUCAGGGGUGUUGGAGAUUCGUGCACUGCUCCUGCGAGGCCAACAAAGUAG
RNAcentral lists this ribosomal RNA (579 nucleotides) under Triticum aestivum (bread wheat). RNAcentral's name for it is "partial small subunit ribosomal RNA". The record is from RNAcentral. Lineage: Eukaryota; Viridiplantae; Streptophyta; Magnoliopsida; Poales; Poaceae.